UUACGGCCAUAUUACGUUGAGACACCGGUUCACGUCGUAUCACCGAAGUUAAGCAACGUCGAGCCUCGUUAGUACCUAGAUGCGUGACCGCUUAAGAAUAUCAGGUUCUGUAUG
This is a non-coding RNA of Acanthosepion pharaonis, 114 nucleotides long. The record is from the annotation of a GenBank genome assembly. Lineage: Eukaryota; Metazoa; Mollusca; Cephalopoda; Sepiida; Sepiidae.